GACCAAAGACACUUAAACCUGACCCCAGUGGCUGCCGGCUUCUGCGGGCGUGGGUGUUUAAAGCCCAGGGAGGCAGCACGGCUCUGUUUUGCAGCGUUGGGAGUGGACACCGGGCAUCUGGGCAUUAGCUUGAGGAGUGCUGUGGGAAAUGGAAUAGGAAGAAACAGAGGCCCAGAGACUGAAAGGGAGAUGCUCCUGUGCACAGCUGUUGACUCAAUCCCAGAGUCUGGACCUGGGAGUUCGGUGACAAGUUAUGCCUGACGCCAGAAGAUUUACAGCAAAGGAGGAAGCAUUGCAGACAAGUAAGUGAUGGCUUACACAUCCCAUCUCCGACCUUCUGGAAGUUUUGUCCUCUUCUGGCCUUUGAGAUGGAAAGCUAGAGAUGGUUCCCCAAGAUCGAACUCAGGUCAGCAAGCUUGAUGGAAAGUGCAUUUACCCUCUGAGUCAUCUGACAGGCACUAUUAAAUUUUGUAAAAAGGGCAAGAAUUUCAUUAAACUGCAG
Molecule: long non-coding RNA, 502 nt
Filed under: Cricetulus griseus (Chinese hamster)
Lineage: Eukaryota; Metazoa; Chordata; Mammalia; Rodentia; Cricetidae
Description: lncRNA (ENSCGRG00015040649.1)
Source: RNAcentral